Molecule: long non-coding RNA, 517 nt
Organism: Rhinolophus ferrumequinum (greater horseshoe bat)
Lineage: Eukaryota; Metazoa; Chordata; Mammalia; Chiroptera; Rhinolophidae
Exons: 3
Source: RefSeq, a predicted model, not a curated record
CCCAACACCACUCCAGCUUCUGCCAGACAGAUGGAACUCUCCAAUAUGAAAAUCUGCGCAGCCAUUCCAACAAGCAGGACUCUGCGCGAGGUUGUCCGAAAGAUGCGGAGGAAAAAGACUUAAGGACUGGCAGCGCUCUUACCCCAAGAUCGAAGUUUCUCAUUGGUCAGUACAAUGAAGGUUGAUGGCAUGAUGGUCCACCUCGCACCAAAGGAUAACUGUUCAUCGGUGUGCUGUUAACAAUCAGAGGUUUCCAAAUAUAUGUUCUCCAACUCAAUGAAAAGUAGCUGGAUCCAGGCAGAAAGGUGUCUGGGAACUCCCUAAGUAUGAAUGAUAUGUCUCCAGAGAAAGUUGCUUCAGCAUUGUUUUUUGGGGGAGAGGGGAUACUUUUCUCUACAGUAUCCUGCAGACUGUAAACUACUAAAUAGGUUCCUAAGUUCAUUCAUCUUUCCCAUGUCUGAAUUCUUGGUCCUCUUCCCACCCUCUGGCUCCACAGAUAAAGAAGAAAUAAUAAUAA